This 253-nucleotide ribosomal RNA is filed under the name uncultured bacterium. RNAcentral describes it as "partial 16S ribosomal RNA". It matches the Rfam family "Bacterial small subunit ribosomal RNA", at positions 524 to 776 of the family's 1533-position model. The record is from RNAcentral.
UACGUAGGGGGCAAGCGUUGUCCGGAUUUAUUGGGCGUAAAGCGCUCGCAGGCGGUUCGUUGCGUCGUGCGUGAAAGACCCCGGCUCAACUGGGGAGGGUCGUGCGAUACGGGCGGACUGGAGGCCAGUAGGGGGAUGCGGAAUUCCGGGUGUAGUGGUGGAAUGCGUAGAGAUCCGGAGGAACACCAGCGGCGAAGGCGGCAUCCUGGACUGGUCCUGACACUCAGGAGCGAAAGCGUGGGGAGCGAUCCGG